RNAcentral lists this ribosomal RNA (390 nucleotides) under uncultured soil bacterium. RNAcentral's name for it is "bacterial SSU rRNA". It matches the Rfam family "Bacterial small subunit ribosomal RNA", at positions 26 to 416 of the family's 1533-position model. The record is from RNAcentral.
AGAUUGAACGCUGGCGGCAUGCUUUACACAUGCAAGUCGUGCGGCAGCGCGGGGGCAACCCUGGCGGCGAGCGGCGAACGGGUGAGGAAUACAUCGGAACGUACCCCGGAGUGGGGGAUAACCCAGCGAAAGUUGGACUAAUACCGCAUAUGCUCUGAGGAGGAAAGCAGGGGACUUCGCAAGAGGCCUUGCGCUCUGGGAGCGGCCGAUGUCCGAUUAGCUAGUUGGUGGGGUAAUGGCUCACCAAGGCGACGAUCGGUAGCUGGUCUGAGAGGAUGAUCAGCCACACUGGGACUGAGACACGGCCCAGACUCCUACGGAGGCAGCAGUGGGGAAUUUGGACAAUGGGGGCAACCCUGAUCCAGCCAUGCCGCGUGCGGGAAGAAGGCC